Molecule: non-coding RNA, 165 nt
Filed under: human gut metagenome
Description: Lysine riboswitch
Rfam family: Lysine riboswitch aptamer
About the family: Riboswitches are metabolite binding domains within certain messenger RNAs that serve as precision sensors for their corresponding targets. Allosteric rearrangement of mRNA structure is mediated by ligand binding, and this results in modulation of gene expression.
Source: RNAcentral
AAUAGAGGCGCGUCGGCACAAAAGUAUUCCGCAGGAGACACCGGGUCGAGGAUUGCGGGAAAAAGGGUGCGACGCCGAAGAGCAUCGGUCUCCGGCAGGCGGGUGUUCUGGCCUUACAGUUAAGAGCUGUGAGGUUGUCAUCAUGCUUUGUGAUGGAGCGCUAUU